CUUUACUAUAACUUUACAUUGAGUUUAGAAAUUGAAUAUGUAGCAUAGAUGGGAGACUAUGAGACUUUAAUGCAAGUUAAAGUGGAGUCGUCAGUGAAAUACCAUUUUUUUAAUUUUUAAAUUCUAAUCAUAUGUUGUAUAUGCUGCAAUGAGACAGUGUAUGGUGGUUAGUUUGACUGGGGCGGUCGCCUCCUAAAGCGUAACGGAGGCGUACGAAGGUAGGCUCAGUUGGGUUGGAAAUCCAACUUUUGAGUGUAAUGGCAAAAGCCUGCUUGACUGUAAGACGUACAUGUCGAACAGGGACGAAAGUCGGUCAUAGUGACCCGGUGGUUUCUGUGAGGAAAGGCCAUCGAUCAACGGAUAAAAGGUA
This 370-nucleotide ribosomal RNA is filed under the name uncultured organism. Its description in RNAcentral is "bacterial LSU rRNA". It matches the Rfam family "Bacterial large subunit ribosomal RNA", at positions 2099 to 2465 of the family's 2925-position model. The record is from RNAcentral.